GCGCAUAAACCUUGCGCGCGGUAUACAAACGAACAUGGAACAAUACAUUUAUUAAUCGGUGUUAAUGUUAGUUAAUAAAAAGACAAUUGUUCAGUGUUUGUUCAUGUUUUUGUUGCUGUUAUGUGACAUAGCAGUGUCUGACUAGCGGCGAGAUGUGGGCUGAUGAUGUCAUCGUUUCAGAAAACAUAUGGAUACACAAAUGCGGUGUUUUCAAAUUUAUCCACUCUGGAACCUGGUUUCAAAAAAUAUUGGUUUCACUCUCCCAAAAUGCUGGAUCUGUGUGAACGAAACGCCUAUACGAUACAAAAUGUAUGCGUAUACAGCGAAACGUGUCUCCAUGUGGAUGGGGCCUAAGUACAACUCUGCCUGCAAUACGCUCCACGGGGAGACUCUUCGGCAUCUUGAGGCUCUUGAGCGCAAUUUCAAUAAUCAAAGCCCGCAGGAAGAGCCAAGUCAUGUGAAUAAAAGAGUCAAACGGAUGCAUAAUGUGGGCAUUGCGGAAGCUGUAAGGCGCCUCCAUAACUCGGAAAACAACCCACAUAAAUUAAAUCCACAAACUGGAAUAAAUUCACCUCAUAAUCAGGCAGUGAUUACUUAUCUGCUGGAGGAAUUAAAGACGUCUUUUGCAGAUGCAGACUCUUAGUCUAUAAAAGCAUGUUGCAGGACUUACUAUGAAACACUGUGGAGGAAAUACACUUUGUCUCUGCCAGAAAAGUUACAGAUUAGGGAAGCCAUUAUGGCACUGGCUAAAAUCCGACAAAGGAAAAGAUGAUUGCUGGAGUCCAGGUCCAGGGUCAUUCAAACAGAUGCAGAAAGAGAACUGUGGCAGACAGCAAUGCUGGAACUGAUGUCUGAUGAGGAGGAUGCCAUUGCUGAUGGAAGGCCGGUGUGGGUUUUGAGAUCUCCACCUCACAGGAACCCACAGUUGUCAGACCUUUGCCAGCAACUUCAGUGCAGAUUGGAGGUAGAUGCACGCUACAUCCGUGCAUACCAUCAGUGUAAGACCUAAUGAAACUGAGCCAGAAGGACAUUAAUUUUUGGAACUCUAAGAAGCACUGGUUCAUUUGUGACCCUAUUGCUCCUCGGAUGCUACAGUGAUGGCUGCCCACUGUUCCAAGUGUCACUGGAUGGCUUAAAUAUAGAGGUUACCAUACAUUGGUCAAUAUGUCACUUUUACUUCACUUUUAAAUUGUGUUUUAGUAUUUAGUGUUUAGUAUUUUAGCUUUUAUAAUUUAUAAAUAUAAUUGCACCUUUAUAAUUGCACAUUUGUUUUUGUUUUUCUUAUUUUGAGUUUGUUUACUAAUUCUUACCUAUUUUGCUUUAUAUAUUUAUUAGAUUUGUACAGUUCCAUAUUCUGUAACUUUGUUAAUAUUGCUUUGUGUUUGGUUGCUUUAUAUGUGUGAAAUAUUCGUUUCGGUUCAGUCCCGCAUUCAAUAACAUUUGUAAAAAAUAUAUUAUUAAAUUGUUAUCUUUAUUUUAUAAGUGCACAAAGUUUUGUUGUUAUUAUGUCUGUAUACAAAAAAAAGUAGACCCUUUACAGAUUCGAUUGAUGUAUUGCUCUUAUCUGUACAAUCAAAACUGAAAGUGUAAUUUAAGUUCUUUUCGGGGUUAUCAGGAGAAAAUACCCCAAAACCGUGCCCUUCAUCGGUUACUGUUCAAGAUGUUAACGCAGAAACACAUCUUCGGGUGCGUCUGUCCCAGAGAUUGGUUUGCAGCAAUAGACCUGAAGGACGUCGAUGUGUCGAUUAUUCCACGCCACAGACCAUUUCUGUGGUUUGCGUUCAAAGGACGGGCAUAUCAGUACAAGGUCCUGCCCUUCGGGCUGUCCCUGUCUCCCCGUGUCUUCAUGAAAGUCAUGGAGGCGGCUCUUGUUCCCUUCAGAGAGCAGGGUGUUCGCACCUGGUGCUCCGUAACCUCAACAUGUUGGGUCUUCUGGUCAACUGGGAAAAGAGCAAACUUUUCCCAACACAGAGGAUCUCUUUUCUCGGUAUGGAAUUGGAUUCAUUCGAACAGACAGCACGCCUCACAGAGGAACAUGCGCAGUCGGUGCUGCCCUGCAUGAAUUCGUUCAAGGGCAGAAUGGCGGCCCCACUGUCCCACCUAUUUCAGAGGCUCCUGGGGCAUAUGGCAGCUGCAGCGGCAUUUACACCACUAGGGAUAUUGCAUAUGAGACCGCUUCAUCACUGGCUUCAUGGCCAAGUCCCGAGGUGGACGUGGAAGUGCCGAACUCACCGGGUCCAAGUUACACCGGCCUGUCACCAAACCUUCACCCUGUGGUUGGAUCUUAUGUUUCUCUGGGCAGGAGUGCCCAUGUAACAGGUCUCCAGGCAUGCUGUGGUUUUCACGGAUGCCACCACCACCGGCUGGGGGGCUACAUACAACGGGCACGCAGUGUAGGGGUAUGGACGGACCCCCAUCUGCACUGGCAUGUCAGUUGCCUAGAGUUGUAAGCAGUGCAUCUUGCCUUGAACCGUCUUAAAGGGCGCUUAUGAGACAAACACGUGCUGGUCCAAAUGGAAAACACAGCGACCGUUGCAUACAUCAACCGACAAGGUGGUCUGCGCUUCUGUCACAAGUCACAAUUCGCCCACCAACUCCUCUUUUGGAGUCGGAAGGUUCUGAGGUCACUUCAUGCCAUUCACAUUCCAGGCCUGCUCAACCGUAUGACCAACGAGCUGUCUCAAGCUACGCUCCCGGGAGAGUGGCGACUCCAUCCCCAGACAAUCCAGCUGAUUUUGGGUCUGAGCCCUGAGAUGCUACGCAGACUGGACACAAAGCUUUAUGACCUCAGACCAGCUCUUUGUUUGUUACGGAGGCCGGCAGAAGGGGAAGGCCAUCUCUAGGCAGAGGAUGGCCCAUUGGAUUGCGGAUGCCAUCACCCUGGCUUAUCAGGCACAGGGUGUGCCCUGCCUGCCCAGGUUGCGAGCUCACUCUACUAGGAGUGUUGCAUUCUCCUUGGUGCUGGCUCGUUGACAGAUAUUUGUGGUGCUGCGGGCUGGGUGACCCCCAACAUGUUCCAUUGAUUCUAUAGCCUUCGUGUGGAGCCAGUAUCCUCCUGUGUUCUCACCUCAAAUGGGUAGUGGCACUGAGAGGCCCCGGUUAGUGUCGGCUUGCUAAAACUACUCCAGAGUGUCCACACUUUAGCCUCUGUCAAGCUUCUCCAUCCCCUCAGCAGCAAUACGUGGUGG
Cyprinus carpio (common carp) is the source of this 3188-nucleotide long non-coding RNA. RefSeq lists it as uncharacterized. The record is from RefSeq and is a predicted model, not a curated record. NCBI's taxonomy places the organism in Eukaryota, Metazoa, Chordata, Actinopteri, Cypriniformes, Cyprinidae. The transcript is spliced from 5 exons.